RNAcentral lists this ribosomal RNA (1307 nucleotides) under Frigoribacterium sp. CFBP 13729. RNAcentral's name for it is "bacterial SSU rRNA". It matches the Rfam family "Bacterial small subunit ribosomal RNA", at positions 217 to 1533 of the family's 1533-position model. Lineage: Bacteria; Bacillati; Actinomycetota; Actinomycetes; Micrococcales; Microbacteriaceae. The record is from RNAcentral.
GGUCAAGGAUGGACUCGCGGCCUAUCAGCUAGUUGGUGAGGUAAUGGCUCACCAAGGCGACGACGGGUAGCCGGCCUGAGAGGGUGACCGGCCACACUGGGACUGAGACACGGCCCAGACUCCUACGGGAGGCAGCAGUGGGGAAUAUUGCACAAUGGGCGCAAGCCUGAUGCAGCAACGCCGCGUGAGGGACGACGGCCUUCGGGUUGUAAACCUCUUUUAGUAGGGAAGAAGCGAAAGUGACGGUACCUGCAGAAAAAGCACCGGCUAACUACGUGCCAGCAGCCGCGGUAAUACGUAGGGUGCAAGCGUUGUCCGGAAUUAUUGGGCGUAAAGAGCUCGUAGGCGGUUUGUCGCGUCUGCUGUGAAAUCUGGGGGCUCAACCCCCAGCCUGCAGUGGGUACGGGCAGACUAGAGUGCGGUAGGGGAGAUUGGAAUUCCUGGUGUAGCGGUGGAAUGCGCAGAUAUCAGGAGGAACACCGAUGGCGAAGGCAGAUCUCUGGGCCGUAACUGACGCUGAGGAGCGAAAGCAUGGGGAGCGAACAGGAUUAGAUACCCUGGUAGUCCAUGCCGUAAACGUUGGGAACUAGAUGUGGGGACCAUUCCACGGUCUCCGUGUCGCAGCUAACGCAUUAAGUUCCCCGCCUGGGGAGUACGGCCGCAAGGCUAAAACUCAAAGGAAUUGACGGGGGCCCGCACAAGCGGCGGAGCAUGCGGAUUAAUUCGAUGCAACGCGAAGAACCUUACCAAGGCUUGACAUAUACCGGAAAGGGCCAGAGAUGGUCGCCCCGCAAGGUCGGUAUACAGGUGGUGCAUGGUUGUCGUCAGCUCGUGUCGUGAGAUGUUGGGUUAAGUCCCGCAACGAGCGCAACCCUCGUUCUAUGUUGCCAGCACGUUAUGGUGGGAACUCAUAGGAGACUGCCGGGGUCAACUCGGAGGAAGGUGGGGAUGACGUCAAAUCAUCAUGCCCCUUAUGUCUUGGGCUUCACGCAUGCUACAAUGGCCGGUACAAAGGGCUGCGAUACCGUAAGGUGGAGCGAAUCCCAAAAAGCCGGUCUCAGUUCGGAUUGAGGUCUGCAACUCGACCUCAUGAAGUCGGAGUCGCUAGUAAUCGCAGAUCAGCAACGCUGCGGUGAAUACGUUCCCGGGCCUUGUACACACCGCCCGUCAAGUCAUGAAAGUCGGUAACACCCGAAGCCAGUGGCCUAACCCCUUGUGGGAUGGAGCUGUCGAAGGUGGGAUCGGUGAUUAGGACUAAGUCGUAACAAGGUAGCCGUACCGGAAGGUGCGGCUGGAUCACCUCCUUU